CUCAGAAUGAGAAUUUUGGGGAGUAUGUGAGUUUACAGUAAAGGUUGUUGAGACAGGAGUGGGAAGAAAAGUGGAUAAAGUGGGACCAUCUGGUAAAACAGAACACACUUUCUGAGAUGGAAACAAGUCAAGAUAAGGAAAUUUUACCUCAUUAAACACAACAUCUUUGGAUAUAAAAAUUCUACCUGAAGCAUCUAAACAUUUAUAUCCUUUGUGACUGUUGGAAUAUCCCAAGAAAACACACUCCUUUGAAUGAAAAUCAAACUUAUGAGAGUUAUAGGGUCUCAAAAAGGGAAAACAUGCACAACCAAAGCUUUUAAGGAAUUUAUAGUCUGGAAAUUGAAGGUGAAGUAAGAAAAAGGGUGAUUUAUUUGCUAAAACUGGUGUAGGUAACCUGUUGAUAAGGUAAGUUGCAGUUAAAAAGGCAUGGUCCCAAAACUUUAAUGGCAUUUGUGCAUGAGAUAAAAGAGUGAGACCAGUUUCAACAAUAUGUCUAUGUUUCCUUUCAACUGAGCCAUUUUGAUGGUGAGUGUGUGGACAAGUGAAUCUGUGAGUGAUGCCAAGGCUAUUGAGAUAUUUUGUGAAAGGUAAAAACUCACCACCUCCAUCAGUUUGGACAGAAGUAAUUUUGUGAUU
This 636-nucleotide long non-coding RNA is filed under the name Medicago truncatula (barrel medic). Its description in RNAcentral is "lncRNA gene2713". Lineage: Eukaryota; Viridiplantae; Streptophyta; Magnoliopsida; Fabales; Fabaceae. The record is from RNAcentral.